Molecule: ribosomal RNA, 497 nt
Filed under: salal root associated fungus UBCtra1542.3
Lineage: Eukaryota; Fungi; Basidiomycota; Agaricomycetes; Sebacinales; Sebacinaceae
Description: eukaryotic LSU rRNA
Rfam family: Eukaryotic large subunit ribosomal RNA
Source: RNAcentral
UCUGGUGUCUUUGACUCCCGAGUUGUAAUCUAGAGAAGUGUUUUCCGUGUCGGACCGUGCACAAGUUCCCUGGAACGGGGCGUCAUGRAGGGUGAGAAUCCCGUAUAUGGCAUGGACUACCGAUGCUUUUGUGAUACACUCUCAACGAGUCGAGUUGUUUGGGAAUGCAGCUCAAAAUGGGUGGUAAAUUCCAUCUAAAGCUAAAUAUUGGCGAGAGACCGAUAGCGAACAAGUACCGUGAGGGAAAGAUGAAAAGCACUUUGGAAAGAGAGUGAAACAGUACGUGAAAUUGUUGAAAGGGAAGCGUUUGAAAUCAGUCGUAUCUGGUGGGAUUCAGCCGGGCUUUUGCCAGGUGUACUUCUCGUCCGAUGGGUCAGCAUCAAUUUUGACCGGGGGAAAAAGACGUGUGGAAUGUGGCUGUCUUCGGGCAGUGUUAUAGCCAUGUGUUGUAUGUCUCGGUUGGGAUUGAGGAACGCAGCGCGCCUAUAGGCCAGGGG